Pongo abelii (Sumatran orangutan) is the source of this 148-nucleotide unclassified non-coding RNA. It matches the Rfam family "Metazoan signal recognition particle RNA". From Rfam's summary of the family: The signal recognition particle (SRP) is a universally conserved ribonucleoprotein. The record is from Ensembl. NCBI's taxonomy places the organism in Eukaryota, Metazoa, Chordata, Mammalia, Primates, Hominidae.
GCCGGGCAUGGUGGCGCAUGUCUGUAAUCUCAGCUACUUGGGAGGCUGAGGCAGGAGAAUCGCUUGAACCCAGGAGGCGGAGGUUGCAGUGAGCCCAGAUCGUGCCACUGCACUCUAGCCUGGGCAAUAGAGAGAGACUCUGUCUCAA